Molecule: ribosomal RNA, 253 nt
Filed under: uncultured prokaryote
Description: partial 16S ribosomal RNA
Rfam family: Bacterial small subunit ribosomal RNA
Source: RNAcentral
ACGAAGGGGGCUAGCGCUGCUCGGAAUCACUGGGCUUAAAGGGCGCGUAGGCGGGCUAUCAAGUCCGGGGUGAAAUCCUCCCGCUCAACGGGAGAACGGCCUCGGAUACUGAUGGUCUCGAGGGGGGUAGGGGCACGCGGAACUGUGGGUGGAGCGGUGAAAUGCGUUGAUAUCCAUAGGAACUCCGGUGGCGAAGGCGGCGUGCUGGACCCCUUCUGACGCUGAGGCGCGAAAGCCAGGGGAGCAAACGGGA